Molecule: non-coding RNA, 84 nt
Organism: Cordylochernes scorpioides
Lineage: Eukaryota; Metazoa; Arthropoda; Arachnida; Pseudoscorpiones; Chernetidae
Source: the annotation of a GenBank genome assembly
AACCAUCGGCCGGGAAUCGAACUCGGGGCGCCCGCGUGGCAGGCGAGCAUUCUACCACUGACCACUGAACCAAAGGCAAACGGU